CUUUAUCCAGUUAAAACCCAGCUCAUUUGUUGUUCUUUUGGUUUGCACUAGGAUGCUAAAGGAAAUAACCCCUGCACGUUCUGUCUCUAUGGUAGCCCAGAUUGAAUUGGGAAGUACAUCU
Small nucleolar RNA from Heterocephalus glaber (naked mole-rat), 121 nucleotides. Lineage: Eukaryota; Metazoa; Chordata; Mammalia; Rodentia; Bathyergidae. The record is from Ensembl.